This 253-nucleotide ribosomal RNA is filed under the name uncultured bacterium. RNAcentral describes it as "partial 16S ribosomal RNA". It matches the Rfam family "Bacterial small subunit ribosomal RNA", at positions 524 to 776 of the family's 1533-position model. The record is from RNAcentral.
UACGUAGGGGGCAAGCGUUGUCCGGAAUCAUUGGGCGUAAAGCGCGCGUAGGCGGCCCGGUAAGUCCGUUGUGAAAGUCAAAGGCUCAACCUUUGAAUGCCGAUGGAUACUGCCGGGCUAGAGUCCGGAAGAGGCGAGUGGAAUUCCUGGUGUAGCGGUGAAAUGCGCAGAUAUCAGGAGGAACACCGGUGGCGAAGGCGGGUCUCUGGGCAGUAACUGACGCUGAGGAGCGAAAGCGUGGGGAGCGAACAGG